This 77-nucleotide transfer RNA is filed under the name Mycoplasmoidaceae bacterium. RNAcentral describes it as "tRNA-Arg". It matches the Rfam family "tRNA". Rfam says of the family: Transfer RNA (tRNA) molecules are approximately 80 nucleotides in length. Lineage: Bacteria; Bacillati; Mycoplasmatota; Mycoplasmoidales; Mycoplasmoidaceae. The record is from RNAcentral.
GCCCUGGUAGCUCAAUUGGAUAGAGCGCUUGGCUACGAACCAAGAGGUUAUGGGUUCAACUCCUGUCCAGGGCGCCA